UACGUAGGGACCUAGCGUUGUCCGGAAUCAUUGGGCGUAAAGCGCGCGUAGGCGGCCCGGUAAGUCCGUUGUAAAAGUCAAAGGCUCAACCUUUGAAAGCCGAUGGAUACUGCCGGGCUAGAGUACGGAAGAGGCGAGUAGAAUUCCUGGUGUAGCGGUGGAAUGCGCAGAUAUCAGGAAGAAUACCCAUAGCGAAGGCAGCUCGCUGGGACGUUACUGACGCUGAGGCGCGAAAGCGUGGGGAGCGAACAGG
This 253-nucleotide ribosomal RNA is filed under the name uncultured bacterium. RNAcentral describes it as "partial 16S ribosomal RNA". It matches the Rfam family "Bacterial small subunit ribosomal RNA", at positions 524 to 776 of the family's 1533-position model. The record is from RNAcentral.